This 460-nucleotide ribosomal RNA is filed under the name uncultured bacterium. RNAcentral's name for it is "partial 16S ribosomal RNA". It matches the Rfam family "Bacterial small subunit ribosomal RNA", at positions 338 to 795 of the family's 1533-position model. The record is from RNAcentral.
CCUACGGGAGGCAGCAGUGAGGAAUAUUGGUCAAUGGACGCAAGUCUGAACCAGCCAUGCCGCGUGCAGGAAGACGGCUCUAUGAGUUGUAAACCGCUUUUGUACGAGGGUAAACGCAGAUACGCGUAUCUGUCUGAAAGUAUCGUACGAAUAAGGAUCGGCUAACUCCGUGCCAGCAGCCGCGGUAAUACGGAGGAUUCAAGCGUUAUCCGGAUUUAUUGGGUUUAAAGGGUGCGUAGGCGGUCGGAUAAGUUAGAGGUGAAAUCCCGAGGCUCAACUUCGGAAUUGCCUCUGAUACUGUUCGGCGAGAGAGUAGUUGCGGUAGGCGGAAUGUGUGGUGUAGCGGUGAAAUGCUUAGAGAUCAUACAGAACACCGAUUGCGAAGGCAGCUUACCAGGCUACUACUGACGUUGAGGCACGAAAGCGUGGGGAGCAAACAGGAUUAGAUACCCGAGUAGUC